UACGAAGGGGGCUAGCGUUGUUCGGAAUCACUGGGCGUAAAGGGCGCGUAGGCGGCUGCUCAAGUCGGGUGUGAAAGCCCGGGGCUCAACCCCGGAACGGCACCCGAGACUGGGCGGCUCGAGACCGGGAGAGGAGGGUGGAAUACCCAGUGUAGAGGUGAAAUUCGUAGAUAUUGGGUGGAACACCGGUGGCGAAAGCGGCUCUCUGGCCCGGUUCUGACGCUGAGGCGCGAAAGCGUGGGGAGCAAACAGG
This 253-nucleotide ribosomal RNA is filed under the name uncultured bacterium. Its description in RNAcentral is "partial 16S ribosomal RNA". It matches the Rfam family "Bacterial small subunit ribosomal RNA", at positions 524 to 776 of the family's 1533-position model. The record is from RNAcentral.